AUGCAAGGCGUGCCUCUGGAGCCCACUCUGUCCACCUCCAUCAGGCCUUCAUACAACACGUAAAGAGCAGGCUUGAGGAGUGACAUGUUCACAAAGGCAAAUGCGUGUUGUCUGUGACCCACUUCUCUGCCAAGACCCUGCGCAAGUUCAUGGACAUUCCAUAUUUUUGAAAGACUUACCUGUGAAGAAUGAAGCCCACUCUUUCUUCAGAAAUUGUUGCAACUGGAAGAACCCAGUAACAGAGUGACGGGGACUGUGGAAAAGCGGGCACUCCAUCCAAUCAUUGCCAAGUAAGAAGUAAGGCCCUGUGUGGUGACAUCUCAUUUUUAAAAGAGAAAUCACAAAUCCAGAAUUUUAUGUAUCAUUUUCCCAUUUCAAAAUAUUGAUGAUUUGCUAAUUUUUUUUUUUGUAAAUAUUUUGUGAGACAAACCAACUAUGUCUUUAGGUUGAAUUUAGCCUGCAGGCUCCCAGGUUAGGAUUUCUGGAGCAGAUGGUGGAUGUCUGGAUGAUAGAUGGCCAUCUCUAACUUUGAAGUUCUACUCAUGAAGGAUAACUAUUAUGCCUUCUUUUUAGGCAAGCUCCUUGCAGGCGGAGCCAUGUCCUCUGUUUAGUUUUGUAUUGUAUACCCCAAGGUUCCAAGUAUAGUGUAAGGCAUACCUUGGACCCUUAAUAUAUAUUUAUGGAAUGAAGAAAGACAAUCUUGGUGUCACUGUCAGGAACUAAAAGAUCAUUGGUCUGGCUUUUGUGAAUACAAACAAUACUACAGUAAACGAAACUACUAAUGGUGGCAUUUGAAAAUGAAAGAGGGAUGAGGCGUGUGUCAUGAAAAAAAAAUCCCCUGAAAUUGCUUUUAGUGGAAGUAAGUAGAAUGUACACUUAUGAAUUGUCUAGAAGACCAAAUGUUUUCGAAAUCUCAACUGUUCAACUUUUCUGUCACAAAGAGAUAGCUAGACAGUGAAUACUGCUUAGUGAGAAACACAGAAAGUUUUGUCCCAACCAUGUGCAUUUGAAGAUUUCAUAGUCUAACAACCACCUAAAUGCAAAGUCUUGUCUAGUAAGGUAAGAGUCUGAGGAUGAACUCAGAACAGUAGAUUUUUAUUUUUGUCUAUCUGUCACACUUCUCUAAGAGUCUUGUUUAAAAAACAAUGAAAUCAUUGUGAGGAAUCUAUUAUAAUGCUGAAAAAAGUGAUUGAGAUAAGGACUCAAACAUGAUUUCAAAAUUUGAGGGAGAAAGGCCAAAAAUCAGG
Molecule: long non-coding RNA, 1247 nt
Filed under: Ursus maritimus (polar bear)
Lineage: Eukaryota; Metazoa; Chordata; Mammalia; Carnivora; Ursidae
Description: lncRNA (ENSUMAG00000017688.1)
Source: RNAcentral